RNAcentral lists this ribosomal RNA (520 nucleotides) under Exserohilum rostratum. RNAcentral's name for it is "eukaryotic LSU rRNA". The stretch from base 136 to 289 matches the Rfam family "5.8S ribosomal RNA". The record is from RNAcentral. Lineage: Eukaryota; Fungi; Ascomycota; Dothideomycetes; Pleosporales; Pleosporaceae.
GCCCCAAGUAUUUUUCACCCAUGUCUUUUGCGCACUUUUUGUUUCCUGGGCGAGUUCGCUCGCCACCAGGACCCAACCAUAAACCUUUUUUUAUGCAGUUGCAAUCAGCGUCAGUAUAAUAAUUCAAUUUAUUAAAACUUUCAACAACGGAUCUCUUGGUUCUGGCAUCGAUGAAGAACGCAGCGAAAUGCGAUACGUAGUGUGAAUUGCAGAAUUCAGUGAAUCAUCGAAUCUUUGAACGCACAUUGCGCCCUUUGGUAUUCCAAAGGGCAUGCCUGUUCGAGCGUCAUUUGUACCCUCAAGCUUUGCUUGGUGUUGGGCGUCUUUUUGUCUCUCCCCUUGUUGGGGGAGACUCGCCUUAAAACGAUUGGCAGCCGACCUACUGGUUUUCGGAGCGCAGCACAAAUUUGCGCCUUCCAAUCCACGGGGCGGCAUCCAGCAAGCCUUUGUUUUCUAUAACAAAUCCACAUUUUGACCUCGGAUCAGGUAGGGAUACCCGCUGAACUUAAGCAUAUCAAUA